RNAcentral lists this transfer RNA (54 nucleotides) under Rupirana cardosoi. RNAcentral describes it as "partial tRNA-Val". Lineage: Eukaryota; Metazoa; Chordata; Amphibia; Anura; Leptodactylidae. The record is from RNAcentral.
CAAAAGCAUCUCGCUUACACCGAAAAGAUAUCUGUGAAAUCCAAAUUAUUUCGA